UACGGGGGGGGCAAGCGUUGUUCGGAUUUACUGGGCGUAAAGGGCGCGUAGGCGGUCGUGACAAGUCACUUGUGAAAUCUCCGGGCUUAACUCGGAACGGUCAAGUGAUACUGUCGGACUAGAGUACAGAAGGGGCAACUGGAAUUCUCGGUGUAGCGGUGAAAUGCGUAGAUAUCGAGAGGAACACCUGCGGCGAAGGCGGGUUGCUGGGCUGAUACUGACGCUGAGGCGCGAAAGCCAGGGGAGCGAACGGG
RNAcentral lists this ribosomal RNA (254 nucleotides) under uncultured bacterium. RNAcentral's name for it is "partial 16S ribosomal RNA". It matches the Rfam family "Bacterial small subunit ribosomal RNA", at positions 524 to 776 of the family's 1533-position model. The record is from RNAcentral.